This 380-nucleotide ribosomal RNA is filed under the name uncultured eukaryote. Its description in RNAcentral is "partial 18S ribosomal RNA". It matches the Rfam family "Eukaryotic small subunit ribosomal RNA", at positions 592 to 976 of the family's 1831-position model. The record is from RNAcentral.
CAAUAGCGUAUAUUAAAGUUGUUGCAGUUAAAAAGCUCGUAGUCGGAUUUUGGCAUCACGCCGAACUGUCUGCCGAUUGGUAAGUACGGUUUGGCGGGUGCUUCUUUCUUGAAGCUCGUUCCCUUCUUAACUGAAGGGUUCGUUGGUUCAGGUUCUUUUACUUUGAGAAAAUUAGAGUGUUCAAAGCAGGCCUAUGCUCUGAAUAGGUUAGCAUGGAAUAAUAGAAUAGGACUUUGGUUCUAUUUUGUUGGUUUCUAGGACCGAAGUAAUGAUUAAUAGGGACAGUUGGGGGCAUUCAUAUUCCAUGGUCAGAGGUGAAAUUCUUGGAUUAACGGAAGAUGAACUUCUGCGAAAGCAUCUGCCAAGGAUGUUUUCAUUGA